CAACCUCAACUCAUAUGGGACUACCCCCUGAAUUUAAGCAUAUUAAUAAGGGGAGGAAAAGAAACUAACCAGGAUUUUCUUAGUAGCGGCGAGCGAAAAGAAAUCAGUUCAGCACUAAGUCACUUUGUCUAUAUGGCAAAUGUGAGAUGCAGUGUAUGGAGCGUCAAUAUUCUAGUAUGAGAAAUUAACGAUUUAAGUCCUUCUUAAAUGAGGCCAUUUACCCAUAGAGGGUGCCAGGCCCGUAUAA
This 247-nucleotide ribosomal RNA is filed under the name Drosophila guanche. Its description in RNAcentral is "LSU_rRNA_eukarya". It matches the Rfam family "Eukaryotic large subunit ribosomal RNA", at positions 1 to 228 of the family's 3401-position model. Lineage: Eukaryota; Metazoa; Arthropoda; Insecta; Diptera; Drosophilidae. The record is from RNAcentral.